UACAGAGGUCUCAAGCGUUGUUCGGAUUCAUUGGGCGUAAAGGGUGCGUAGGUGGCGCUGUAAGUCAGGUGUGAAAUUUCGGAGCUUAACUCCGAGCUUGCAGUCGAUACGGGCAGGCUAGAGUUCGGCAGGGGAGACUGGAAUUCCUGGUGUAGCGGUGAAAUGCGCAGAUAUCAGGAGGAACACCGGUGGCGAAGGCGGUUCUCUGGGCAUUACCUGACGCUGAGGAGCGAAAGUGUGGGGAGCGAACAGG
Molecule: ribosomal RNA, 253 nt
Filed under: uncultured bacterium
Lineage: Bacteria
Description: partial 16S ribosomal RNA
Rfam family: Bacterial small subunit ribosomal RNA
Source: RNAcentral